RNAcentral lists this ribosomal RNA (2242 nucleotides) under Spirometra sp. JL-2010. Its description in RNAcentral is "eukaryotic LSU rRNA". It matches the Rfam family "Eukaryotic large subunit ribosomal RNA", at positions 16 to 1510 of the family's 3401-position model. The record is from RNAcentral. Lineage: Eukaryota; Metazoa; Platyhelminthes; Cestoda; Diphyllobothriidea; Diphyllobothriidae.
UAGGUCGACCCGCUGAAUUUAAGCAUAUCACUAAGCGGAGGAAAAGAAACUAACCAGGAUUCCCCUAGUAACGGCGAGUGAAGAGGGAAUAGCCCAGCACCGAAGCCUGCGGUAGGUUUACUGCUAGGCAAUGUGGUGUUUGGGUCGACUCGCGGGAUUGCCACUCCACUCGAAGUCCAGCACUGAGUAUGGUUCCCUGGAUUUGGCCCAGAGAGGGUGAAAGGCCCGUGCGAGUGGAGGUUCAGACAUGUGAGGCAAUUCACCAGGUCGACCUUCGAGUCGGGUUGUUUGGGAAUGCAGCCCAAAGUGGGUGGUAAACUCCAUCCAAGGCUAAAUACAAGCACGAGUCCGAUAGCGAACAAGUACCGUGAGGGAAAGUUGAAAAGUACUUUGAAGAGAGAGUAAACAGUACGUGAAACCGCAUAGAGGUAAACGGGUGGCGUCAAGCUGCAAGCCUAGAGGAUUCAGUUGAUCGGUGUGUAUGCGCGCCUGGCGUGUCUGUCGGACGGACAGUCCACUGCGAAAUGGUGGGCCUGCCUUUCUUCUUGGGGGGCAGGAUCGGUGUUCCGGGUGGUUGCCGGUGCCGGCUGUUCUGUCUGUCUGCGCAGUGUGGAUGGACCGGUCAAUGCACUUCCUCUAUUUGGUGAGCACCACGACUGGUGGAACUGCCAGUCUGCCAUAGUCAAGUCGGAUUUGGUCGGUGGCUCUCCUCGUCGUCUUGGUGUGGGGGGGUCAUCGGCUGAGUUUCGAUCACAGGCGAACUCAGUGAGCGGCGCGUGUAGGCAUUCGCUUGCACACGUGUUAUCGAGCACUGGUCGUCAACGGGUCUGCCUGUCGGUUGUUGUGUACAAUCGCCGGCGGGUGUCCUGGUGGGCUAUGGUGGUAUGAAUAACUGUGCAGGGCACCAGAGUUGUCGGUCUCUAGUUUCCGUCUCGUGCGCACACUGUAUGUGGGCGUGGGGUGUUGCUGUAGGCUGCCAAUUGCUGGGUCUGAUCGUCGUGUUGCCUGCGCAAAGUGGGCCCGGCGGUGGUCUGGUGUUGGGUGGUCUGCAUUUGUGUGUGAUGCCUCCUGUGCGAGCCGGCGUGGACCAAACAGUCUGUGGUGUUGUGGUAGACGAGCUACCCGACCCGUCUUGAAACACGGACCAAGGAGUUUAUCAUGCACGCGAGUCAAUGGGUCCACCGAAACCCAAAGGCGCAGUGAAAGUAAAGUCUCGACUUGUUCUCGGGAUGUGGUGAGAUGCCACUGUUUCUCGCACCUCCCCUGGCGCGCGCAGCUUGCUGUGUGUGUGUUUGUGGGUCUGCAGCACCAGGCAAAAGAGCAGUGGCCGCAUCACCGGCCCGUCCCAUGAUGUGGUCGUUGGAAAGGCGUGGAUCGUUUUGUGUGGUCUGCGUUGGAACCGGCGCGUCAUCGGGGCGGAGCAAGAGCGUGCACGAUAAGACCCGAAAGAUGGUGAACUAUGCUUGCGUAGGUUGAAGCCAGAGGAAACUCUGGUGGAGGACCGCAGCGAUUCUGACGUGCAAAUCGAUCGUCAAACGCGAGUAUAGGGGCGAAAGACUAAUCGAACCAUCUAGUAGCUGGUUCCCUCCGAAGUUUCCCUCAGGAUAGCUGGCACUCAUUCGCAUGAUCAGUUUUAUCCGGUAAAGCGAAUGAUUAGAGGUACUGGGUUCGAAACGAGCUCAACCUAUUCUCAAACUUUAAAUGGGUGAGAUGCCCGGCUCGCUUUAUAGGAGUCGGGCGCUGAAUGUGCGAGUGCCAAGUGGGCCAUUUUUGGUAAGCAGAACUGGCGCUGUGGGAUGAACCAAACGCUCGGUUAAGGUGCCUAACGCUGACGCUCAUGAGAUACCACAAAAGGUGUUGGUUAAUAUAGACAGCAGGACGGUGGCCAUGGAAGUCGGCAUCCGCUAAGGAGUGUGUAACAACUCACCUGCCGAAUUGACCAGCCCUGAAAAUGGAUGGCGCUGGAGCGUCGGACCUAUACCGGGCCGUCACCGCAAGCUGGAUCGCUGGCUCUGUGUGUGUUUGGUGUGAGCAGCGUAUGGCUGGUUGCGUGAAUAACAAUCGGUCGCUGUCUCUUGAAGUCAUGAUCCAGGCAAGGAGGCGGUGGCGAGUAGGAGGGUCGCCGUGGUGAGCGUGGAAGCCUCGGACGUGAGUCUGGGUGGAGCCGCCACGGGUGCAGAUCUUGGUGGUAGUAGCAAAUAUUCAAGUGAGAACCUUGAAGACUGAAGUGGAGAAGGGUUCC